RNAcentral lists this ribosomal RNA (253 nucleotides) under uncultured bacterium. RNAcentral's name for it is "partial 16S ribosomal RNA". It matches the Rfam family "Bacterial small subunit ribosomal RNA", at positions 524 to 776 of the family's 1533-position model. The record is from RNAcentral.
UACGUAGGGGGCAAGCGUUAUCCGGAUUUACUGGGUGUAAAGGGAGCGUAGACGGCUUUGCAAGCCAGAUGUGAAAGCCCGGGGCUCAACCCCGGGACUGCAUUUGGAACUGUGUGGCUAGAGUGUCGGAGAGGCAGGCGGAAUUCCUAGUGUAGCGGUGAAAUGCGUAGAUAUUAGGAGGAACACCAGUGGCGAAGGCGGCCUGCUGGACCGUAACUGACGUUGAUGCUCGAAAGCGUGGGGAGCAAACAGG